UUUGGUGUGUUUACUUCUGAUC
This 22-nucleotide non-coding RNA is filed under the name Arabidopsis thaliana (thale cress). The record is from RNAcentral. Lineage: Eukaryota; Viridiplantae; Streptophyta; Magnoliopsida; Brassicales; Brassicaceae.